RNAcentral lists this long non-coding RNA (1768 nucleotides) under Malus domestica (apple). RNAcentral describes it as "long non-coding RNA (MDOM_LNC017777)". Lineage: Eukaryota; Viridiplantae; Streptophyta; Magnoliopsida; Rosales; Rosaceae. The record is from RNAcentral.
AUUAACCUCUAGCCAAAAUAAAUUUAGUUACACAUUAUUAAAACAGAAAUAAAAUAUAAGUUUGGAAAGAUUUAACCGAGAGAGAGGGCAGAUUGCUGCUUUCUUCACUGGCGUCCUCCCUGUCUUCUCUUGAUCUCUCCGCAUGUCCUCACUUCCCCCUGCUGUCCUCACCUUUCUCUGCUGUCCUCACCUUCGGUUUCUGCUUUCCUCGCUGCCCAAGGCAGCCAAGCCUUUUAUUCCUCCUGCGCAGGUUCACGCUGCAAGAGCAGCCUGAUGCGAAAUAUAUAAGCACACAAAUUUAACCCUCUUUUUGACAAUUGUAGUAUAGAUGUAAGUAGGGUAUCGUUCUAGGCCGGGGAUUAGGAGGGAUUGCUAAUCUAUUCUAAAUUAAUUUAAAAAUAUUAAAUAAGACUCAAGGACACAAAACUAGGCUAAAAACUCUAAUAACUCGAAACACACGUAGAAUGACCCAAAAUAAUGGAAACAAUCAAAUUAGACACUAGGAACUGAAAUGGACGGAAAUUGAAUUAAAAGACUAACAACAAUGAAAGCUAACUAAAUAAUAUAAUUUAAUAAUGGGGGGUGUUUGGUUUUGACGAGAAGUAAAUUAAACUUAAAUAAAUUACAGAAUUGACAAAAAUAUGAAAUUAAGGUGAAAGGAUAGAUGACGGACUAGCUAGAGGGUUCUUCUCCACACAUGACACAUAUGCAACCUAAAUUGAUUUUUCAGUUGUUCUUUCAAUAAAUUGUAAAUCUCAACGCCCCAAAUUAACCGUGAAUUGCACUAAUUAACCCUCAGUUUUUCCACAAGUUAUUGGGUUGGAUGAUUGCAUACGACAACCCAAAACAUUCCCUACAAGUUCCCUACAUGAAUUGCAUAAUAGAGAUACAAGCAAGAAUCAUUAAGUUCUAUGAAAAACAUAAGCAUUGACGAGGCACUCGUUACUAUGAUUUGCAUGAAACUUAUGCCAAGAAUUUACUUAACGUGAUUGUGACUAGCAACCUUCACUACUUGUGAAUAUAAGUUCAUAACGAUUAGGUGAAAUUCACUUAUAUUCUAGCAUCAAAUUCAUGCAUGUAAAUUAAGUAUGCAUCCUUAAUCGACAUACAAAAAUAAGUUAUAAAUCAAGCAGUUAAGCAAAUUAAAUCACAACUGAAGGUAAUCAAUUCAUAUUACAAAUAUAUUCAUGGCUUUGAAUUAACCUCUAGCCAAAAUAAAUUUAGUUACACAUUAUUAAAACAGAAAUAAAAUAUAAGUUUGGAAAGAUUUAACCGAGAAAAGAAGGCAGCUUGCUGCUUCUGUCUGUGCCCUUCUCGUGCUGCAAGGCAGCUUCCUGUCAGUUCUCUCCUCUUCCUUCCGUGCUGCCCUCUGCCCUCACUUCUCUCCCUUUUAUUUUCUUAUUCUGUUUUUUUCUUUUUUUUUCUGCGCAGUCCUCUCUCUGCACUCUUCCCUGCGCCUCUGACUUCUAUUUUCUUCUUAUUUUCUUCUACACAGUUUUCUGUGCUGCACCACUGGCUUCUGACCUCUCCCUUCUGUCCGUGCUAUCUGCUGCCGCAAGGCAGCUGUCUGCCUUUUGGUUCUCCCCUGCUCAAGCUGCCAAAUGGCAGCUUUCCUCUUGCCUUUCUCUCCUGCCCCGCGUCACUUCUCUCUGUCUGACCUUCUCUCCCCCCUGCUGUCCUCACCUUUCUCUGCUGUCCUCACCUUCGGUUUCUGCUUUCCUCGCUGCCCAAGGCAGCCAAGCCUUUUAUUCCUCCUGCCCAGGUUCAC